Molecule: transfer RNA, 72 nt
Filed under: Monodelphis domestica (gray short-tailed opossum)
Lineage: Eukaryota; Metazoa; Chordata; Mammalia; Didelphimorphia; Didelphidae
Rfam family: tRNA
About the family: Transfer RNA (tRNA) molecules are approximately 80 nucleotides in length. Their secondary structure includes four short double-helical elements and three loops (D, anti-codon, and T loops).
Source: Rfam by way of RNAcentral
AUUAAAUUGGUUUAGUGGAAAAAGUACUAGACUUAGAACCUGGAGAGAUGGGUUCAAAUCCCACUGUAAAUA